This is a small RNA of Paenibacillus rhizosphaerae, 117 nucleotides long. It matches the Rfam family "Bacillus sRNA ncr1015". The record is from Rfam. NCBI's taxonomy places the organism in Bacteria, Bacillati, Bacillota, Bacilli, Caryophanales, Paenibacillaceae.
AUGUAAAAUAAGAUAUUUAUAACUUUAUAACAUGAACAGUCGUGAUCUGAUUAUAUCAUCACGUCUUUUUUUGCGCAAUAAGAAAGAACCUGGGAUUUUAUCCAGGUUCUUUUUUUG